This 406-nucleotide ribosomal RNA is filed under the name uncultured bacterium. RNAcentral's name for it is "partial 16S ribosomal RNA". It matches the Rfam family "Bacterial small subunit ribosomal RNA", at positions 30 to 526 of the family's 1533-position model. The record is from RNAcentral.
AUUGAACGCUGGCGGCAUGCUUUACACAUGCAAGUCGAGCGAGCGGCGGACGGGUGAGUCAUGUAUGGGAACCUACCUGAUGGAGGGGGAUAACUACUGGAACCGGUAGCUAAUACCGCAUACUAUCAGAUCUGCCCAUAUGUGAUUAGCUAGUUGGUGGGGUAAUGGCUCACCAAGGCGACGAUCCAUAGCUGGUCUGAGAGGAUGACCAGCCACAAUGGAACUGAGACACGGCCCAGACUCCUACGGGAGGCAGCAGUGGGGAAUAUUGGACAAUGGGCGCAAGCCUGAUGCAGCCAUGCCGCGUGUGUGAAGAAGGCCUUCGGGUUGUAAAGCACUGUCAGCAGGGAAGCGUUACUCGCAGAAGAAGCACCGGCUAACUACGUGCCAGCAGCCGCGGUAAUUC